RNAcentral lists this ribosomal RNA (525 nucleotides) under uncultured bacterium. RNAcentral's name for it is "bacterial SSU rRNA". It matches the Rfam family "Bacterial small subunit ribosomal RNA", at positions 871 to 1398 of the family's 1533-position model. The record is from RNAcentral.
GCCUGGGGAGUACGGCCGCAAGGUUAAAACUCAAAGGAAUUGACGGGGACCCGCACAAGCGGUGGAUGAUGUGGAUUAAUUCGAUGCAACGCGAACAACCUUACCUACCCUUGACAUGUCCGAGACCCUGCUGAGAGGUGGGGGUGCCCGAAAGGGAAUCGGAACACAGGCGCUGCAUGGCUGUCGUCAGCUCGUGUCGUGAGAUGUUGGGUUAAGUCCCGCAACGAGCGCAACCCUUGUCCCUAGUUGCUACGCAAGGGCACUCUAGGGAGACUGCCGGUGACAAACCGGAGGAAGGUGGGGAUGACGUCAAGUCCUCAUGGCCCUUAUGGGUAGGGCUUCACACGUCACACAAUGGCCGGUACAGAGGGUUGCCAAAGCGCGAGCUGGAGCCAAUCCCCAUAAAAGCCGGUCGUAGUCCGGAUUGCAGUCUGCAACUCGACUGCAUGAAGUCGGAAUCGCUAGUAAUCGCGGAUCAGCAUGUCGCGGUGAAUACGUUCCCGGGUCUUGCACUCACCGCCCGUC